RNAcentral lists this ribosomal RNA (376 nucleotides) under Gonypetyllis semuncialis. Its description in RNAcentral is "partial 12S ribosomal RNA". Lineage: Eukaryota; Metazoa; Arthropoda; Insecta; Mantodea; Gonypetidae. The record is from RNAcentral.
AUACCCUAUUAUUUUUAAUGUAAAAAAAAUUGAAACCUGAGUACUAUUAGUUAUGAUCUUUAAACUUAAAGAAUUUGGCGGUAUUAUAGUCUAUUUAGAGGAAUCUGUUAAGUAAUCGAUAGUCCACGUUGAACCUUACUUGCUUAAAUUUCUUGUAUACCGCUGUUUAAUGAAUCUACUUUUAGGUUAUUUUCUGGAUAUAUUAUUAAUUAAAAUUUCAAGUCAAGGUGCAGUAAUAGGUAAGUUGAAUAAUGGAUUACAAUAAAUUUUAUUUAAACGGAUUAAGAACUGAAAUGUUAUUUGAAGGUGGAUUUAAAUGUAAUUUUAUAAAGAUUAUUAAAGUGAUUUAAAGCUCUAUAAUAUGUACACAUCGCCC